This 363-nucleotide ribosomal RNA is filed under the name uncultured bacterium. RNAcentral's name for it is "bacterial SSU rRNA". It matches the Rfam family "Bacterial small subunit ribosomal RNA", at positions 72 to 422 of the family's 1533-position model. The record is from RNAcentral.
AAGUGGAGCAAUCCAUGAGUAGAGUGGCAAACGGGUGAGUAACGCGUGGGCGACCUACCUCAGAGUGGGGGAUAACCUUCCGAAAGGAGGGCUAAUACCGCAUGACAUACCGUGUUUGGAUACACGGAUAUCAAAGCCGGGGAUCGCAAGACCUGGCGCUUGGAGAGGGGCCCGCGUCCGAUUAGCUAGUUGGUGGGGUAACGGCCUACCAAGGCUCCGAUCGGUAUCCGGCCUGAGAGGGCGGACGGACACACUGGGACUGAGACACGGCCCAGACUCCUACGGGAGGCAGCAGUGGGGAAUUGUUCGCAAUGGGCGCAAGCCUGACGACGCAACGCCGCGUGGAGGAUGAAGGAUUUCGGU